Molecule: ribosomal RNA, 450 nt
Filed under: uncultured bacterium
Lineage: Bacteria
Description: bacterial SSU rRNA
Rfam family: Bacterial small subunit ribosomal RNA
Source: RNAcentral
GUAGGGAAUAUUGGACAAUGGGCGCAAGCCUGAUCCAGCAACGCCGCGUGGAUGAUGAAGCAUCUUGGUGUGUAAAAUCCUGUCAGUGGGGACGAAACGUCGGGAGAGGAAAUGAUCCCGGCUUGACUGUACCUGCAGAGGAAGUUCCGGCCAACUCCGUGCCAGCAGCCGCGGUAAUACGGGGGGAACGAGCGUUGUUCGGAUUUACUGGGCGUAAAGGGCACGCAGGCGGGAAAGCAAGUCAGCUGUGAAAUUUCUCAGCUUAACUGGGAAACUGCAUUUGAUACUGCUUUUCUUGAGUACGAGAGAGGAUGGCGGAAUUCUUGGUGUAGCGGUGAAAUGCGUAGAUAUCAAGAAGAACACCGGUGGCGAAGGCGGCCAUCUGGCUCGAUACUGACGCUCAUGUGCGAAGGUCGGGGGAGCAAACAGGAUUAGAAACCCUAGUAGUCC